AUAAACCAGAUGAGGCGAACGGGCACUCCCUGGGGUCUGUUGGGCAGAGCAGCUCAGGUCUGUCAAAGCUCCUGGUGAGGUGAGAACGAGGAGAAUGCUGCUUCUCAUCUGUGGUGGCUGGCACAGUCUUGGGUAAGGGCAAGGCCAACUUUCCUUCCCAAGAGGGUGUUCUCUGUCUUUGCAUUUCCUUAUCCUCAGGGCACAGCCUUCCUGACAGACACUCCUUAAGCUGAAUCCCUGAGCCAAAUCUCGAGCUAUCUUCUGGCAUCCUGGAAAUCCUGCACUGAUUCCGAGGAAGCAGCAAAGAAAGAACCAUGAAGCAUGCCAGCUUCAUGUGAACUGAUCACCAUGAAUGGGCAGGACAAUGGAACUUACGAAUCUCAUUUCUACAGGGUGAGGCGAGUAGGAAACGAUCGCUCUUUUUCGGCCAAGUGCCCCCAUGGAACGCCUGGGGGAUGGCAUUUUAAGUAUUUAGAAGAAGAAAAGUGGCAGAAGCUAUUUGGUCUGGAUGCAUAUUUCAGCCAACAAAAUACCGUGUCACAUAAGCUCUCUGAUGGUUUCUCGCCUGGCAAGACAUUUUCUUAAAAUGAGCAAACAAAGAGUAUCCAACUGACAGGGUUUUGCCAUCUUGGAAAGGCUGGUCUCGAACUGCUGAACUCAAGUGAUCCACCCUUCUCGGCCUCCCAAAGUGCUGGGAUUGCAGGCAUGAGCUACCGCGCCCGAGCUGGUAUUUUAUUUUCCCUUAACAAAACUGGAAGACAUGAUUGAAGACAGAGUCUCAGUCUUGUCGCCCAGGCUGGAGUGCAGUGGUGCGAUCUCAGCUUACUGCAACCUCUGCCUCCCAGGUUCAAGCGAUUCUCCUGCCUCAGCCUCCUGAGUAGCUGGGAUUACAGGUACCCGCCAUCACGCCCAACUAAUUUUUUGUAUUUUCAGUAGAGACAGGGUUUCACCAUGUUGGCCAGGCUGGUCUUGAACUCUUGACCUCAAGUGAUCAGCCCGCCUCAGCCUCCCAAAGUGCUGGGAUCAUAGGUGUGAGCCACCAUGCCCAGCCUGUUUUUAAUUCUUUUGGGUAUAUUCCUAGGAGAACUGUGGCUCAUAUGUUAUUCCUUUUCUUUUUUUUUUUUUUCCCGAGAUGGAGUGUCGCUCUUGUUGCCCGGGCUGGAGUGCAGUGGCACGAACUCAGCUCACUGCAACCUCUACCUCCCGGGUUCAAGCUUCUCCUGCCUCCGCUUCCUGAGUAGCUGGGAUUACAGGCGCCCGCCACCUUUCCCAGCUAAUUUUUGUGCUUUUAGUAGAGACGGAGUUUCGCCAUGUUGGCUAGGCUGGUCUCAAACUCCUGACCUCAGGUGAUCUGCCCGCCUCGGCCUCCCAAAGUGCUGGGAUAACAGGAGGGAGCCACCACACCUGGCCUGUUAUACCUAUGUUUAACUUACUGAGGAACAGCCAAAAUGCUUUCCACAGUGGCUGUACCAUUUUACAUUCUCACCAGCAAUGAACAAGGGUUCCAGUUUAUCCGCGUCCUGGCCAACAUUUGUUUUCCUUUUGUUUGAACAGCCGUCUUUCAUGUGUGUGAAGCGGUGUCUCACUAUGGUUUUGAACUGCACUUCCCCCACUACUAAUGAGGUGGAGGCAUCUUUCCGUGUGUUUGCUCCCACUAGGCAUCUGUGUUUGGGAAUCAAGAGUGGGCCCCACCACUCUCACCUUUGCUCCUGACCAUCACAGCACACUGCCCAGGCUGGAGGUGGCUCAUUUUUAUUCUCUCUUAAGGAACAGUGCCUUAGAGCACCAGCCAUCAAUAUUUUUACUGGCCCCAAGCCCCAUGAUUUCAUAUGCAUGGGUUUCACAUGCAAGGUGCCAGCCUCUGAGCAGCAUCUGUGCAAGAGCUGCAACUCCAUCCUUCUGUCUUCUUCAAAAAGUGUAUCAGAGAGGGAAUAAUCAUGUUUUCCAGGUGAAACUGAAUGGCUUUUGUCUGUUUAAGUAAAUCACUCACAAAUUUGGGUACUCUAUUGUUAAUUAACAAAUAAUUAAUCAGCCCCUCCUUGGGGCUCCCCUGCCACCUCCUUUUAGAAGUGCUGCAAAGCAUAACAGCUGGUCAAGUGCACAUCCCCAUGACUGCAGGGAGGGGCUGCCAGGCAUACUCAUCUCAAGGUCAACCAUGAAGUUCACCUUCAAAGCAAUCGGCA
Molecule: long non-coding RNA, 2183 nt
Organism: Pongo pygmaeus (Bornean orangutan)
Lineage: Eukaryota; Metazoa; Chordata; Mammalia; Primates; Hominidae
Exons: 3
Source: RefSeq, a predicted model, not a curated record